Molecule: ribosomal RNA, 1333 nt
Filed under: uncultured bacterium
Lineage: Bacteria
Description: bacterial SSU rRNA
Rfam family: Bacterial small subunit ribosomal RNA
Source: RNAcentral
GACGAACGCCUGGCGGCGCGCCUAACACAUGCAAGUCGAACGAGCGAGAGGGAGCUUGCUUCCUCAAUCGAGUGGCGAACGGGUGAGUAACGCGUGAGGAACCUGCCUCAAAGAGGGGGACAACAGUUGGAAACGACUGCUAAUACCGCAUAAGCCCACGACCCGGCAUCGGGAAGAGGGAAAAGGAGCAAUCCGCUUUGAGAUGGCCUCGCGUCCGAUUAGCUAGUUGGUGAGGUAACGGCCCACCAAGGCGACGAUCGGUAGCCGGACUGAGAGGUUGAACGGCCACAUUGGGACUGAGACACGGCCCAGACUCCUACGGGAGGCAGCAGUGGGGAAUAUUGCACAAUGGGGGAAACCCUGAUGCAGCGACGCCGCGUGGAGGAAGAAGGUCUUCGGAUUGUAAACUCCUGUUGUUGAGGAAGAUAAUGACGGUACUCAACAAGGAAGUGACGGCUAACUACGUGCCAGCAGCCGCGGUAAAACGUAGGUCACAAGCGUUGUCCGGAAUUACUGGGUGUAAAGGGAGCGCAGGCGGGCGAUCAAGUUGGAAGUGAAAUCCAUGGGCUCAACCCAUGAACUGCUUUCAAAACUGGUCGUCUUGAGUAGUGCAGAGGUAGGCGGAAUUCCCGGUGUAGCGGUGGAAUGCGUAGAUAUCGGGAGGAACACCAGUGGCGAAGGCGGCCUACUGGGCACCAACUGACGCUGAGGCUCGAAAGUGUGGGUAGCAAACAGGAUUAGAUACCCUGGUAGUCCACACCGUAAACGAUGAUUACUAGGUGUUGGGAGAUUGACCCUCUCAGUGCCGCAGUUAACACAAUAAGUAAUCCACCUGGGAGUACGACCGCAAGGUUGAAACUCAAAGGAAUUGACGGGGGCCCGCACAAGCAGUGGAGUAUGUGGUUUAAUUCGACGCAACGCGAAGAACCUUACCAAGUCUUGACAUCCCUUGACGAUGCUGGAAACAGUAUUUCUCUUCGGAGCAAGGAGACAGGUGGUGCAUGGUUGUCGUCAGCUCGUGUCGUGAGAUGUUGGGUUAAGUCCCGCAACGAGCGCAACCCUUAUGGUCAGUUACUACGCAAGAGGACUCUGGCCAGACUGCCGUUGACAAAACGGAGGAAGGUGGGGAUGACGUCAAAUCAUCAUGCCCUUUAUGACUUGGGCUACACACGUACUACAAUGGCGUUAAACAAAGAGAAGCAAGACCGCGAGGUGGAGCAAAACUCAGAAACAACGUCCCAGUUCGGACUGCAGGCUGCAACUCGCCUGCACGAAGUCGGAAUUGCUAGUAAUCGUGGAUCAGCAUGCCACGGUGAAUACGUUCCCGGGCCUU